Molecule: transfer RNA, 81 nt
Filed under: Monimopetalum chinense
Lineage: Eukaryota; Viridiplantae; Streptophyta; Magnoliopsida; Celastrales; Celastraceae
Description: tRNA-Leu
Source: RNAcentral
GAAAACACAGAGACAAAGGGCUGAUCUUUGAAUAGGAAAAAGAGUGGAUCGGCAGGGUCCCAAAUGAAUUGGCUUAUUCGA